CCGUAACUAUAACGGUCCUAAGGUAGCGAAAUUCCUUGUCGGGUAAGUUCCGACCCGCACGAAUGGUGUAACGAUCUGGGCACUGUCUCAACUACCCACCCGGCGAAAUUGUAGUACCGGUGAAGAUGCCGGUUACCUGCGGCAAGACGGAAAGACCCCAUGGAGCUUUACUGUAGCCUGAUAUUGGGUUUCGGAAAUCUAUGUACAGGAUAGGCGGGAGACUGGGAAACAUGAGCGUCAGCUUGUGUGGAGUCGAUGUUGGGAUACCGCCCUUAGGUUUCUGGAAUUCUAACCUGCGGCCGUGAAUCCGGUCGGGGGACAUUGUCAGGUGGGCAGUUUGACUGGGGCGGUCGCCUCCGAAAAGGUAACGGAGGCGCUCAAAGGUUAGCUCAGCACGGACGGAAACCGUGCCUCUGAGUGUAAACGCAAAAGCUAGCCUAACUGCGAGGGUGACGGCCCGAGCAGUAACGAAAGUUGGAGUUAGUGAUCCGGCGGUAUGUGAAUGGAAAUGCCGUCGCUCAACGGAUAAAAGCUACCCUGGGGAUAACAGGCUGAUCUCCCCCAAGAGUCCACAUCGACGGGGAGGUUUGGCACCUCGAUGUCGGCUCAUCACAUCCUGGGGCUGUAUUCGGUCCCAAGGGUUCGGCUGUUCGCCGAUUAAAGUGGUACGCGAGCUGGGUUCAGAACGUCGCGAGACAGUUCGGUCCCUAUCUGUCGUGGGCGCAGGAUAUUUGAGGAGCUCUGUCCUUAGUACGAGAGGACCGGGAUGGACGUACCUCUGGUGCACCAGUUGUCAUGCCAAUGGCACGGCUGGGCAGCUAUGUACGGAACGGAUAAACGCUGAAAGCAUCUAAGCGUGAAGCCGACUCCAAGAUUAGAUAUCCCAUAGCGUAAGCUAGUAAGACCCCUUGUAGACUACAAGGUUGAUAGGCUGCAUGUGUAAGCACGGUAACGUGUUCAGCUUGGCAGUACUAAUAGGUCGAGGGCUUGACCAU
This 995-nucleotide ribosomal RNA is filed under the name human gut metagenome. Its description in RNAcentral is "bacterial LSU rRNA". It matches the Rfam family "Bacterial large subunit ribosomal RNA", at positions 1934 to 2925 of the family's 2925-position model. The record is from RNAcentral.